RNAcentral lists this microRNA (21 nucleotides) under Glycine max (soybean). RNAcentral describes it as "gma-miR10422". Lineage: Eukaryota; Viridiplantae; Streptophyta; Magnoliopsida; Fabales; Fabaceae. The record is from miRBase by way of RNAcentral.
UUCUGAUUAGAGAGCAACACC